AGGUCAUGCUGCGGACAACUUGCACAUAAUUUCUUAAACCUCUCCCAGUAAUCAUAGAGAGUUUCUUCAUUUCUUUGUUGGAUUCCCAAAAUGUUUUGCCUAAGUUC
This is a small nucleolar RNA of Hibiscus syriacus, 107 nucleotides long. Lineage: Eukaryota; Viridiplantae; Streptophyta; Magnoliopsida; Malvales; Malvaceae. The record is from RefSeq and is a predicted model, not a curated record.